Anas platyrhynchos (mallard) is the source of this 4802-nucleotide long non-coding RNA. RefSeq lists it as uncharacterized. The record is from RefSeq and is a predicted model, not a curated record. NCBI's taxonomy places the organism in Eukaryota, Metazoa, Chordata, Aves, Anseriformes, Anatidae.
GGUUUCUACUGUUGCAAGAAUAUUACAUGAAACUGGAUGUCCGUGAAGCACAUGAAAAAGAGCUUGGCUUAUGGCUACUUCUCUCCUCUGACUACAUCAAAUUCAAGAAAAUACCCAGGAGUACUAAACUCCCUUAUAAUCAUCCAAGGAAACAACAAACAGCAAUGGAUUUCAAACUACUGGGCGAAUUGUCACUUCAUAAAAUGGUGGAGUGAGGAUAAAAAACACCAUUUAUCAUGUGGUGAGGAACUGCAGUAAAAGCUUAAGUUUACCUUUGAAGCCAGAAUUACUGAUGUUAUCAAUAUCUACAAGUUCAAAUCUGAUGUAGCAAACAAAUGCAAGUCUGCUUCUACUACAGUAAGGUCAGCCAGGAUCCAAGCCACACAUCAGGCAGCUCCCACACAGCACUGUACACCUUUAGUAUCCUAGUAGGAUAGGGGCAAAUAGUCACUAAUUGAAUUCACAGUUGCCCUUUACUCAGAUAUGCUCAGAUGACAGAUGAAUUUGCAUUAGUUUAAUGUGAAUCACCAUGGAUAAUGGAAAACAAUACUUAUGCUAAUGAGAGAGCGGAGCAAAAGCUUUGCAAAUGAGUUGCUAUUUGUUCACCAGCCGGGGUGCUGCUGAUUAGAAACAGGAGUGUGAUUGAUAGCUCCAGCCACCUCUGCUUCUGGCAUGCCACCUCUGUCGGGCAUCCCCACAGCACCCUUAUUUCUCUCACAGCACCCUUAUUUCUCUCAUAACACCCUUAUUUCUCUCCCAGCACCCUUAUUUCCCCAGCACUUCCCACCCCAUGAGGGCAGCCCCGCAGUGGAGAGGCGACCCCACCUCAGGGAGGAGCACAUGGAGGCCAAGGGACCAUGAGGGCAAGGGGAGCACAGCUGAGGGAAGCCCCCACACUCACCAGCACCUUCCCAAGAAGGCAGAGUUGAUCUUUCAACCUGCUUAUUUCUCUCUCCUGCACCCACGAGCCUCAGGCCCUACGCGGCCGCCAUUUUAGGCCUUAAACAGGGUGCGCGCACAGCUGGAGGAGGAGGGAAGCACAUGGUGAAGGCGUCAAAGAGGGGGAGAUAGCAUGUGAGGAACUGCCCAUGCCUGGCUCCCUGCACGACAACAGUUCCUUGCCAGCUUGGGAAGGACAAUGUGAUGACUUUUAGGGGAAAAAGAAUGAUAAUAAUAAUACCUCCUUGAGUUUUGGGGUGUUUUUUUACCACACGGCGACGCCCAGGCCUUUGUUUUCUCUCAGAAGUCACCGCCCCUGAGGAAGGCCGAGGGUGGCUUUUCCAUGGGGUGGCAGCAUGGAGAUGCAGGAGGAGUUCAGGAGAGCCUGGUAUAUUGAAGAUAAUGAUCCUGCUUCUGAAUGGGAGAUAAGAGAGAGACAAAGACAGAGCUGCUGGCUUUUAAGUCGCAUGAAAAGCUUCAGAUACUACAGCGAUGAGGACCGUAUAUGAAGACAGAGCUGUGCCGUAACUGGUAGGAGAGAGAGCAAUGUAAUAACUUUGAUACAAACAGUGACCUUCUCAGCAUUAAGCAUACUGCAUGAUGGUACAGAAAUAAGGCUUAAGAUGCAGGUUCACAAAGGUGACAAACUGAUACUGAAUUCAGGCAGCACUGGAGUAUCUAAAUACCUUUGUAGAUAUGGACAUAAAUGCCUUAUUUGAUAGGAGUUAACACGACUGGAAAAGCGAAGCAUUAGCACAAGUGGAACAUGCUCUGUUUGAGGUUGUGUCUCUGCUUUCCACUGUACCUGCCAUUUUGUAUUACGGGUUGCAUGUGUUACCAGCCUUGCCCCAGGCAAGGUUAAUGAAUUGCAGUUCCUCUGAUCUGCCCAGCUGCAGAGAGCUGCACCAUAUCUCGUUGAAGGAUCAUCACUGGGAAGCUAUCAUGUGGCGGUCUGGAGCCAUCGGCUUUGAUUGUUUCUCAGUGGUUGGCCAGAAGCCACAGUCAAUAGAUUUGCAAUGCAGGGAUGCCAGCGUGGCGGGUGUCUCGGUUGCUUCUCAGCCCUGCACAUGGCAAAAGGCUGAACAGAGCAGGGAAGCCAAAAACUGCCAGCUGGAAGCAGGGCGGUGCAGGAGAGAGGGCAAACAGGCUGCUGCCAAGCCUUAAUGCCCAUAAAGCUCAGGGUCACAAAUGGAGACUAUUAAUACAGAUUAUCAGAUAGUUUCCAUCUUCUUUCCAUUUGUUUCCAAUAUUUCCUAGUUUCUAUCUCCUGUAAGAGCAAAAUUGGCAGAGCUGUCAGGUCUCCUCUUACCACACCACUGGUCAGAUCGUGUAUGAAUCUGGAGCAAGGAAGCAACCAUAGCAAUUUUACCAGCAUUUUACCUAGCUUAUGCCAAGUCUGGUGUGCAAAGGACUUGUUUAAUGACUCUGCCAUCCUUUCCCAUACAGAGAGGGAGAAGCAUUCUCAUUUAAUAUUAAUCUCCUCUCCAUGGAUUCAGGCUGCUUCUGACACUGUAUCAAUUAUUAAAACUAGUUUAAAAAUUUCCCAGGAUUAAAGAGAUUAGUUUUUUGUUGAUUUUGGUAAUUCCUCCUGCUUUUGCAUCUCUGAGGCUGUGAGUGCAACACAGCUACUGGGUUCCUGUUUGCUUAGAGUUCACCCUAUUCACAGGCAAAAUGAAAAUUUCAUUUCCAUUUAUAAUUGCCAAGCUCAUGCAUGAGUUGUAAGCAGCUCCAACAGACUGGAUGUUGCUAAAGCAAUUGAAGACCUUUUAGGUGACAAUAUUAGGUGAGCAUCACUUGUACAUUACCCGUGGAAAAUUAAUUGUAUGUGCGUACAGUUAGGGUCUUUCUAUAGAAUUUUACAUUAUGAAAGUAAAUUUAAAAGGGAGAACAACAUUUGCAGUUUUCCUCUGUGAUGGCGUGCACUUCCCAUCUGCAUAAUGUAGAUGUUCUCUUUCAGCAGGCAGUGGAGGUUACUCCAUGGUCAGAUCAAAGAACCUCAUGUGCUACUGUCCCAAAUUUAAAGAAUGCCUAAAGAACACCAGUUGUCCCCUGCGCAGUGUAACUUCAUUAGCUGUGGAAGAACAGCUUGCCUGCUCCAGACUACCUGUUUCAGUCUGUUCUAGACUACAAGUUAAAGUCAGAACUGCAAGUGGCACUUAAGAAAAUCUAGAAAAAAAGGAUUAAAAAAGAAUAAUCAAAGUGCUUUAAGCAUCAAAAAGCAAACAGAUCUCUGAAAUAUCGGUGAAGCCCCACAAAAAAUUCAAUCCCAGCAUUAUCUGUUUUCCAUUGAAUCAUUAAUUCAUUGUUUUGUUUUUUUUUACUACCAGGUAAAGCAAACUCCUUAAAUGGGAUCUUUCACUGGGUCUUCCCUUUGCUAAGCAAUACUGCCUGAACAGUCCUACUCAUCACUCCAGCUAACUGGAAUAUUUGUGGCUUCCUUUAAUAUUCCGUAAGUGUACCUUUUCCUUAAUUAACUGGUCAGACAAUCUUGCUUAACAAAAGGAAUACCCAGUGAAAUUCAUAUGUAAAAGCAAGUUUCUAUAAUUACAAAUUAAUCAGGAAAAAUCCUCAGUAAUCUUUUCUCACUAAAUAUUUCCUGCUAGAAAGAAUCAGAUGGCCCAUUAUUUUUCUUUCCAACUGUUUCAUGCCGCAUGAUAGACUUUAUCAAUCAGCCCCAGAAACCAAUCUUCUCCCAGUCUCCAGCACAGUCAUCAUCAAUCAAAUGUGUAAGCAAUGGCGCUAGAGCCUCAUCACAGCCUUUUCUUUGCUAGCAAGCGUCACAGCUCAGGGAGAGAGGUGGAGAUGCACAUUUCAAAUAUCCAUCAUUCUCUCCUGCAGAGGAAGGAUGGUGGGAGGAGAGGAGAGAGAGAUCACAUGUGUUAAAAUGUUUUAUAUUUGGUGUUAGUGUCUCUGGCUAGAAACUGAUAAGCAGCAGGAGUUGAGAGCACAGAGAGAGUCUGGCAUGAAUGGUGUGUGUGGGAGGAAGGUCAGGAAGGGAGGAAAACAAAUGUCUUGUUGUUACUACCAUUAUUUGUAUUAUAGAGGUACUACCGACCUCUUAGAUUGCACAUUCUGUCCUCCUAAACACCUUUAUAAAAGUCAGGAUCAUUAUCUUUGUUUUCUGAGUGGAGAAAUUGAGAAAGGUUUGACUUGCAGAAGGUAAGCAGGCCCCCAAGAGGGGGGAGAAAAGAGCUCAAGUUUUUUGACAUCUAGACCAGCACUCUGUUCCCUGGCUCACAUUGCCUUCCCCCUUCCAGGAGAGGGUGAAUCUGAGAUCAGGGUCUCGCUGGGCAGACGGAUGGUGGAAUCAGCACUGGUACAAGACAGCUUUCCCAAAGGUCCCAGCCUUCUUUCCAUUUCCUAAGCUCUCUGUCAUUGUAGGUCAUUAAUUGUCAGAUGGUUUUCCAUCUUCAACCUUUAUUUUGUGUUUCAUAUGCACAUACAAGAAAUUUGUUCCAGGUUCACAUCACUGCGGUAUGAGCCCUAGAGAAGUGCAGGUGCUUCUUUAAAUGUAUUUCAUUUCAUAAGAUCGAGGAAAGAAGAAAGAAGAAAACAAAUAUCAGAAUGCUUGUCCUGUACUGAUUAUUUCUUAUGUUUGUUUCACACUUCAUUGAUUUCACUUGAAUUGUUCCUAAUUUACACAAAUGAACAAUAAGAUUUAAGUCUUCUGGGUCUGUUUUUCUACCCGUUUUUACAGACUUUAUAUCUGCAAAUCAAGCCUAUAAUACCUGCAAGGAAGACAGAAAACAGAUGUGUUUCUUUCUGUCUUAUGUCCUGUAACACUGUUGAUUCCCCUACCAAGCACCGAGGGAGUUUAUUCACUUGAGGUUUCUCUAAACCAUUCUUGGAUGCUGAGAUAUGAU